GAAUGUUUUGAAAAUACAUCAAAAGAUGACCGGAGUGGGACUUAAAAAAGAAAAAUGUUUCUACAGAACUAUAUUGUUGUUUACGGUAAUAACCUCUUGUUCAUUUUUUACCUAUUUUUGCAAUUUAGUUUUUAAAUGUUUGCGUUUAAGGAAUUUUCUUUUCUUUCAUAAUGAAAUUGUGACUUUUUUUAACUAAAACAAAGGUCGGGUUUGAGCUUUGUGGAUCUGUGGAUGUUAGACUGUCUCACUUCAGGGUGAAGACGUUCUUCUUCUUCUUGUAGCCGUUGGUGACGUCGCAUUGGCAGUGGGAGAGGCUGAGCAUCGGCUCGUUGUUGUAGGGCGUCGCCGUGUUCUUGGCGUCCUUGUAGAAUCCCAGCUCCCCCUUGUUCAGCACACAGUACAGGUUGACCCACGAUCUGCUGCAGUGGGGGGGUGGGGCAGGAGAAGAGGGAAAGUGGAGAAUGAGGGCGGGGCGGGGAGUGACGCGCAAGGGGAAGGCGGGGAUGGGGAGGGGCGGAGAUCGGGAAGAGUCAAGAGGAGCUGCCAAGUCACUGCUGCUAAGCUAACACCUCACUCACCUGACCAGAGCAGACAGGUAGGUAGGCAGGAUGGACCAGCCCCAAGAAGGGAGGAGGAAACACACUGCUGAACAAACACAGAUGAACGCACGAACGCACGGAUGACCACACGGAGGAGGCUCUCGAUGUCCAGCUUGCGGAACAGGAACCCCUCGUGGUGGGCCGUGUGGGUUGGAGGCUGCGGGACCGCCGGGCUGCUCUGGGCCGGAGCGGACCUGGACCGCCGCGUGGUCUCUCCCGGCUCUUUGGGUCGUGGCCUUCGUCUGGGCUUGGGUCGGUCCCGCGCUCGGGGCCGGUCUGGACGGGAAGACUUCUCUGGGAAACCAUUGGGCAGACGGGGGACCUCGCCACGAGCCUGUGGGGUCAAAGAUUCAGAUCAAAGCAGGAAGCUGCUCUACAAUCUCUGCCAUGGUGGUUCUCUUUUCUCUGCAGAAAAGCAGAAGAUAAAGUCAAAAGUACUGAGGAUCAGAUCAGAGGUGGGUGUUGUGUUCGGGUCUCACCCUCCUCCGGAGCGCCGGUCAGACUGUUCCCUCCCAGUGUCGUGCUCACUGGAGUCCUGUCUGUCCAGUCGGUGCCGGUCUCUUUCCCUCCGCCGGCCCUCGUGGCCCCCGUGGCCCUCCUGCUCGCUGGACGUUUGCCUCUCCAGUGUGCGUCUGUCACGGCGCUCCGCAUGUUCCCUCCAAACCUCCUGGGGGAGCUCGUCCCGCCGGGCUUGGAUCAGCUGCUCGCUGGACAGCUGCCGCUCCAUCCUGUGGUGGUGCGAGUGCGUUUGGGCCUGCGGCUCGGCGUGACCCAUGGGGUCGGGCCUGGAUCCCCGGGACCCCCUGGUGGGCUCGCUGUGAAGGCGUUCUCGGCCGCGCUCCUGCAGCACCACCUCGGCCAUCACCGCCACCUCCGCCCUGUCUGCUCCCGUCUCCCCCGUCAUGCUGUCCCGCUCCCUCCCCCUCUCCCUCACUCUCUCCAGCCGGCUGGCCACGAGCAGCGGCGUCACGGCGUCGUCCAGGUGUUUGAUCUUAGGUUGCCGUAGAUACGGGGACGACCUGGCCUCCAGGUCCCGCCCUGCCUGGACUGGCUGGAGGUGACUCAUCACCUUGGCGGCCUGGUCUCUCAUGCUGACGGCAGAUUCUCGCGCCUGAUUGGCCGACACUAACAUGGCUGCCGUGGCAACAGAUGCGAUGGAUGAGGCAGCUGGCUGACCUAGUCCUGCAGCCACGCCCACCACGCCGCCAUGCCGGGCCUCCAGGGUGUG
RNAcentral lists this long non-coding RNA (1827 nucleotides) under Oryzias javanicus (javanese ricefish). Its description in RNAcentral is "lncRNA (ENSOJAG00000012462.1)". The record is from RNAcentral. Lineage: Eukaryota; Metazoa; Chordata; Actinopteri; Beloniformes; Adrianichthyidae.